RNAcentral lists this ribosomal RNA (256 nucleotides) under uncultured bacterium. RNAcentral describes it as "partial 16S ribosomal RNA". It matches the Rfam family "Bacterial small subunit ribosomal RNA", at positions 524 to 776 of the family's 1533-position model. The record is from RNAcentral.
UACGUAGGGCGCAAGCGUUGUCCGGAAUUAUUGGGCGUAAAGAGCUCGUAGGCGGUUUGUCGCGUCUGCUGUGAAAACCUCAGGCUCAACCUCGGGCCUGCAGUGGGUACGGGCAGACUAGAGUGCGGUAGGGGAGAUUGGAAUUCCUGGUGUAGCGGUGGAAUGCGCAGAUAUCAGGAGGAACACCGAUGGCGAAGGCAGAUCUCUGGGCCGUAACUGACGCUGGAGGAGCGAAAAGCGUGGGGAGCGAAACAGG